Molecule: long non-coding RNA, 1076 nt
Organism: Oncorhynchus nerka (sockeye salmon)
Lineage: Eukaryota; Metazoa; Chordata; Actinopteri; Salmoniformes; Salmonidae
Exons: 3
Source: RefSeq, a predicted model, not a curated record
CUUUGUCAGUGCAUUUUUGCAACAAAUGGACAAAACAAUUGCAUAUUGCUAUGCAAAAUGUCAUAAUUGUCGCUGCAAAAUCUAGCAUAUUUAUCUGCCAAUAUCAAAAAAUGAAGUAUGAGUAUGAAAAUGUACACUCACUACUGUAAGUCGCUCUGGAUAAGAGCUUCUGCUAAAUGACUAAAAUGUCAAAGUAAAAUGUAGCUAAACCUAUUUUAUGUAGAAAAUGCAUGAAAGUAUUACAGAUAUACACUCACAUGAGCCGUACAUUUAACCUAUCACAACUUAUUCUCACGCUAUCACAAUGGUAAUUUCUUUACUAAUUAGGUAAGGUUAAGUGACCUCUUCUCUUGGAAUAGAAAUCCACAGGUGGAGUACACGCUCCACCAUCCCAUUUCCACAGUGGUGCCACCAUGGGGAUGAUGGGAGGUGGUUGUGGAUGAUUGUUUUCAUUCUUCACAGGGACACUGGCUGUGAGGAGAAUCUCCUCCCUCUCUGCAGGGACACCAGCCUUUGGGACGAUCCACUCCCUGUGCGCAGGGACGCUGGCCUUUGGGAAGAUUCCCUUUCUCUGCGCAGUGACACUGGUCAUCAGGAGGAUCAACUUCCUUUGUGCAGGGUGAUGCUAGCUGCUCGGAGAAUUCCCUCCCUCGGUGCAGGGACACUGGCUGUUUGGAGGAUCCCCUUCCUCUGUGCAGGGAUGAGGCCUGAUGCUCGGAGGAUCUCCUCCCUCUCAGCAGGGACACUAGCCCUUGGGACAAUCCCCUCCCUGUGCACAGGGACGCUGGCCAUUGGGACGAUUUCCUCCCUCUGCGCAGUGACACUGGCUGUUUGGAGGAUCCCCUCCCUCCGUGCAGGGAUGAGGCCUGAUGAUCGUAGGAUCUCCUCCCUCUGUGCAUUGAUGCUGGCGGCUGAGAGAAUCCCCUCCCUCUGUGAAGGGACACUGGCUGUUUGUAGGAUACCCUUCCUCUGUGACGGGAUGAGGCCUGAUGCUCGGACGAUCUCCUCCCUCUGCACAGCAACUUCGGCUGGUGUGAUGAUCUGAAGAGAGAGAAUGGAACCAGCAGAGAGAGGGG